RNAcentral lists this ribosomal RNA (459 nucleotides) under uncultured bacterium. RNAcentral describes it as "partial 16S ribosomal RNA". It matches the Rfam family "Bacterial small subunit ribosomal RNA", at positions 338 to 795 of the family's 1533-position model. The record is from RNAcentral.
CCUACGGGAGGCUGCAGUGAGGAAUAUUGGUCAAUGGACGAAAGUCUGAACCAGCCAUGCCGCGUGCAGGAAGACGGCUCUAUGAGUUGUAAACUGCUUUUGUACAAGGGUAAACCUGAAUACGUGUAUUCAGCUGAAAGUACUGUACGAAUAAGGAUCGGCUAACUCCGUGCCAGCAGCCGCGGUAAUACGGAGGAUCCAAGCGUUAUCCGGAUUUAUUGGGUUUAAAGGGUGCGUAGGCGGAUUGAUAAGUUAGAGGUGAAAGGCCGGGCUCAACUCGGGAACUGCCUCUAAUACUGUUGAUCUAGAGAGUAGAUGCGGUAGGCGGAAUGUAUGGUGUAGCGGUGAAAUGCUUAGAGAUCAUACAGAACACCGAUUGCGAAGGCAGCUUACCAAUCUAUAUCUGACGUUGAGGCACGAAAGCGUGGGGAGCAAACAGGAUUAGAUACCCUUGUAGUC